AGAGUUUGAUCCUGGCUCAGGAUGAACGCUAGCUACAGGCUUAACACAUGCAAGUCGAGGGGAAACGACAUCGAAAGCUUGCUUUUGAUGGGCGUCGACCGGCGCACGGGUGAGUAACGCGUAUCCAACCUGCCCAUCACUUGGGGAUAACCUUGCGAAAGUAAGACUAAUACCCAAUGACGUCUCUAGAAGACAUCUGAAAGAGAUUAAAGAUUUAUCGGUGAUGGGUGGGGAUGCGUCUGAUUAGCUUGUUGGCGGGGUAACGGGCCCACCAAGGCGACGAUCAGUAGGGGUUCUGAGAGGAAGGUCCCCCACAUUGGAACUGAGACACGGUCCAAACUCCUACGAGAGGCA
This 354-nucleotide ribosomal RNA is filed under the name uncultured bacterium. RNAcentral describes it as "bacterial SSU rRNA". It matches the Rfam family "Bacterial small subunit ribosomal RNA", at positions 8 to 350 of the family's 1533-position model. The record is from RNAcentral.